AUGAGAACCAAUCCUACUACUUCUCCUCCCGAGGUUUCCACAAUUGAAGAAAAAAGUACAGGUCGUAUCGAUCAAAUUAUUGGACCCGUGCUGGAUGUCACUUUUCCCCCAGGUAAGUUACCUUAUAUUUAUAAUGCUUUGGUAGUCCAGAGUAGAGACACUGCCGAUAAUAAAAUUAAUGUGACUUGUGAGGUACAACAAUUAUUAGGAAAUAAUCGAGUUAGUGUUGUAGCUAUGAGUGCUACGAACGGAUUGAUGAGAGGAAUGGAAGUGAUUGACAUGGGAGCUCCUCUUAGUGUUCCGGUCAGUGGAGCUACUCUCGGACGAAUUUUCAAUGUUCUUGGGGAGCCUGUUCACAAUUUGGGUCCUGUAGAUAGUAGUGCAACAUUCCCUAUUCAUAGAUCUGCGCCUGCCUUUAUCGAGUUAGAUACGAAAUUUUCCAUCUUUGAAACAUGUAUUAAGGUCAUCGAUCUUUCAGCUCCUUAUCGACGUGGAGGAAAAAUAGGACUAUUUGGGGGGCCUGGAGUAGGUAAAACAGUACUGAUCAUGGAAUUAAUCAAUAACAUUGCUAAAUCUCAUGGGGGUGUAUCCGUAUUCGGUGGAGUAGGGGAACAGACUCGUGAAGGAAAUGAUCUUUAUAUGGAAAUGAAGGAAUCCGGAGUAAUCAACGAAAAAAUAUUGAGAAAUCAAAGAUAG
Molecule: ribosomal RNA, 696 nt
Filed under: Triticum aestivum (bread wheat)
Lineage: Eukaryota; Viridiplantae; Streptophyta; Magnoliopsida; Poales; Poaceae
Description: partial small subunit ribosomal RNA
Source: RNAcentral